CGGCAGACGGGUGAGUAACGCGUGGGAACAUGCCUUUUGGUUCGGAACAACACAGGGAAACUUGUGCUAAUACCGGAUAAGCCCUUACGGGGAAAGAUUUAUCGCCGAAAGAUUGGCCCGCGUCUGAUUAGCUAGUUGGUGAGGUAACGGCUCACCAAGGCGACGAUCAGUAGCUGGUCUGAGAGGAUGAUCAGCCACAUUGGGACUGAGACACGGCCCAA
Molecule: ribosomal RNA, 221 nt
Filed under: uncultured bacterium
Lineage: Bacteria
Description: partial 16S ribosomal RNA
Rfam family: Bacterial small subunit ribosomal RNA
Source: RNAcentral